This 301-nucleotide ribosomal RNA is filed under the name uncultured bacterium. RNAcentral's name for it is "partial 16S ribosomal RNA". It matches the Rfam family "Bacterial small subunit ribosomal RNA", at positions 509 to 809 of the family's 1533-position model. The record is from RNAcentral.
CAGCCGCCACGGUAAUACGUAGGGUGCAAGCGUUAAUCGGAAUUACUGGGCGUAAAGCGUGCGCAGGCGGUUAUAUAAGACAGAUGUGAAAUCCCCGGGCUCAACCUGGGAACUGCAUUUGUGACUGUAUAGCUAGAGUACGGCAGAGGGGGAUGGAAUUCCGCGUGUAGCAGUGAAAUGCGUAGAUAUGCGGAGGAACACCGAUGGCGAAGGCAAUCCCCUGGGCCUGUACUGACGCUCAUGCACGAAAGCGUGGGGAGCAAACAGGAUUAGAGACCCGUGUAGUCCCUGUCUCUUAUAA